Molecule: long non-coding RNA, 3374 nt
Filed under: Homo sapiens (human)
Lineage: Eukaryota; Metazoa; Chordata; Mammalia; Primates; Hominidae
Description: non-protein coding LINC01424:5
Source: RNAcentral
GCCGAGGCGCGCUGUCCGGGUGGUGGGAGCUCAACCCGCGACCGCGGCUACGAUUCUCUUGGCUCCUGCCCUCGCCUUAGUCGCUCUGCGGGGUUGGUUCGGUCCCGGCACUUCCAGAGGCCUCAGGGUCCUGGUCUUGUAGAGACUUCCUGAACGGUGGCGCCUGUUCCAGUGUGUGUGCGCUAACUGCCUGUUCUGUGCCAGCCGCGCGUGGCCGAAGGGCGGGAGGACGGGGGUUGUGGAGGGGAGGAUGGAGGUUGGGGAGACAGGGCGGGGACGAGAUAAGAGGUCGGGGGGUGGGGAGGAUGGUCGCGGGGCGGUCUGGGGCUGGAGACAAGGGGCCUGAGGUGCGGGUACGCACUGAACAUUCCAACCGUCCCCAGCCGGCCGGGUUUCAGGUUUGAAAAGGUGGGAAGGUUAGCUGUCCUGGCGCUUUUCCUCCACGUGUUGUGCGGCUCCGCUGGAGUUCGGGUCCAGCACCUUCUACUCCGAGGGAGAGAGCCGCGGGGAGAGCCCUGUUCGGGCCCGCGGCUCGAACUGACCGCCGGCUCUGCCGAGCAGCCUCGACCCCAGGGCACCCCCGGGAGAGAGGGCGCGGCUCAGGUCCCUGCCCGAACCCCUGGGGUGCUGAGAGACUCCCCAGCGCCCCGCGUGGGCUCCCGGCCUCUCCACAGUUGAGGAUCCUGUAAGGGGCGAGCCCUUUUUCCCAUAAUGGCUGUAGUGAGUGGGUGUGCUUUCCCGAUUGACCCGCUGUGAGGUGAGCGAUUUUAACCCACAUCCUUACUGACUUCACAGCACAGUAGGUGCUUCGUGGCUGUCCGGUGCAAGGAUGUAUAUACACACACACCUUUGCAAAAAAAGUUUGCAUCUCUUGCCUGGCUGUUUGUUGCAAUAAUCUAUCAUUUGUCUUUUCCUUUCCAGCAUUGCAGAUGAUCCCUUGAAAAGAAGUCUGAUCACAUUCACACUCUGCUCCGCCCAUUUCACUCAGUAAAGCUGAAGUCCUGCAGUGCUUUGCUCUGCCUCCGGUCACCCCGCCAUACUCCCAGACCCUCCCUCCCUCUCACUCCACUCCAGCUGCCCUGGCCUGGUUCAGAGUCCCUGACUCUUCCCUCCCCGGAAACACUUUCUGGCGGCUCUUGUCCCCGACUCUUCCCACCUGCUCUUUCAGUCUUUGCUCAAAUGUUGCCUCUUCAGUGUGGCCUAGGCCGUCACCACCCGGCCUUCACCGCAUACCUUUUUCUCUGCAACACCUACUCAACACACCGUACUAUAGAACUUACUGGCAUGCUAUAAAUGUAUUACCCUUAUCUGUUGCCUCUAACCAAAAGCGUGUUCCAUGAGAGCCAUGGGUCCCUGCCUACUUCUGUCUUGUUUCUGGGGCAGCCUCUGUACCUGGACAUCGUAUACUCUUAACACGGAUUUGUCAAAUCAAAUGAAAUUUAACAAUACAAACUUCACAAGUAUGCAUAGUGUAGGAAAAUUCCCCAAAAUUCAAAAUUUCAGUCUACCUCCAUCUUUUCAAAUGACCACAGUGCUUUAUAAAAUGACAUGGUCCUUUGAGACUGUUUCAGAGAGUAAUUUGUGCAAAUGCAAUGUGCAAAAAGUCACAGUGGAGGUGUUUCCUCCCCCAUUCAAGAGCUGCUCUCUCUCUAAUCAGACAGCACCCCACACCCCAAGGCAGUCUGUCCAGUGCUCCUAAAGGAGAGCAGCUCCCCUUUUCCAGUUAUGGGAGAUGUGGGCAAUAAAGCAUUACUGUCAAUGCCGUGAUGUUCACUGCAACAUAUGCUUGAUGUUUUCAUAAUUUUAUCCAUCUUUUUCAGACAUCUUACUGCAGAACACUGUAUGUUUUCCAAUUAUUAUUUUUCAGAAAUGUGGUUUACAGCUUCUAUCAGGAUUAGCUUCAGCUUCAAGUGACAAAAGUCACUUGAAAUAUGAGUUGCUGAAACAAGAUGGCAGUCUCUCCCCUCAACAGGACUGUUACAACACCUUAUCUUCAGAGAACCAGGCUCUCUGCAACAUUUCAGGGACGUCGUUCAGUACCUUAUGUGGAAUUCAAGCUUAGCUGGGCAUCCUAUGUUUUAACUGGCUAACUCGUGGAACUCUCAACUUGGAUCAAGUGGUAGUGGAGUCCCAGGGACUCUGAGCAGCCAGUGUGUGAUACUGCAGGGCAGCACACCCUGGGGAGGCCAACUGUACAGAAUAAAAUUAAUGCUUUCUAUCUUUAGCAACUAAAGUUCUGAAAUAUAAAAAGGACCUCACAGCUUAACCCAUGUUAUACGGUGGGGUUUUCCCAUGAACAUCACGCGUUUCCAGCUGGGCACUCCUGCAGCAUGGCUAAGAUGACAACUCAAGUUCCCUGGGAGUGGGGGUUCCUGGGAUGUGAACCUUUCGGUGCAAAAACUGGAGAAGUUCCAGUUGGGACCCCAGGCAUAGAUACUAGGAUAAAUAGGGCCUCUCUCCUCCAGGAGCAUCAAUUUAACCCAAAGAUUCUUGGAGUCAGUUUCACAUAAGUAAUCUUGUUGAAAAUAGUAAUCCCAACAGAUCUAUUUUUCCAAAUGCACCAUUUGCAUAAAUCUCAGAAAAAAGACAACUUCAAGAACAUACCUUUGCUGGGCACCAUGGCUCAUGCCUGUAAUCCCAACUACUUGGCAGGCUGAGGCACGAGGAUCACUUGAGGCCAGGAGUCUGAGAUCAGCUUGGGCAACUGAUUUAUGGUUUGGAUUUGUGUCCAUGCCCUUCCUCUUCUGCCAUGAUUAUAAGUUUCCUGAGGCCUCCCUAGCCAUGCUUCCUGUACAGCCUACAGAACUAUGAGUCAAUUAAACCUCUUUUCUUUAUAAAUUACCCAGUCUCAGGUAGUUCUUUAUAGUAAUGUGAGGAUGCACUAAUACAGCAAUAUAGUGAGAGCUCCAUCUCUACAAAUCUUUUUUAGAAAGACAGGACAUCCUGCUGGUUCUGCUGUGAGGUGUUGUGGGUGGAAGUUCAAGCAGCGCUGCCCUAAUACAUCCACAUAUGCUCCUGGCCAUUAUUCUUAUCUAACCUACGGUGCCUGGGACACAUCCCUUUCCUCAUUGAUUUUGGCAGCCGCUUCGCCCCAGGCUGCCUAGGGAAUCUGGCAGAUGUCCCCAUCCUGUAUUGUGCCUUAAUCCGUGCACUCUUCCUGGUGCAAGUGAAUCACGUGUUCCAUCUCCACAGCUGCCCAUCUUUCUUCACCUUGGGUUCAUUCAACUGAUGGGCUAAAACAGCUCAUUUUCAACCUGGGUUUUGUUACACCACUGCACACUGGGAAAUUCUUAAAGCCAAAUCAAUGUCAGUUCAGUUUCAAAGCAGAUAGGUAAGUUGUCCAUGGCAGAAGGAAAGCUGACUUACAUUCAAAC